RNAcentral lists this ribosomal RNA (244 nucleotides) under uncultured bacterium. RNAcentral describes it as "partial small subunit ribosomal RNA". It matches the Rfam family "Bacterial small subunit ribosomal RNA", at positions 26 to 285 of the family's 1533-position model. The record is from RNAcentral.
AGAAUCAACGCUGGCGGCGUGCCUAACACAUGCAAGUCGAACGAGAAAGUGGAGCAAUCCAUGAGUAAAGUGGCGACCGGGUGAGUAACACGUGACUAACCUACCUUCGAGUGGGGGAUAACCUCGGGAAACCGAGGCUAAUACCGCAUAACAUCGUGAGAUCAAAGCAGUAAUGCGCUGGAAGAGGGGUCGCGGCUGAUUAGCUAGUUGGCGGGGUAAUGGCCCACCAAGGCGAAGAUCGGUA